Protopterus annectens (West African lungfish) is the source of this 144-nucleotide long non-coding RNA. RefSeq lists it as uncharacterized. The transcript is spliced from 2 exons. The record is from RefSeq and is a predicted model, not a curated record. Lineage: Eukaryota; Metazoa; Chordata; Ceratodontiformes; Protopteridae.
AAGACAGGGACAGUGAAAUGCUUCAAGAGGCAGAUUUCUCUGAGGUGCCAAGCAGUCCUUCCAGACCAGGUGAAAGUGACAGUUCCUGCCAAAGUCCCAGCAAUGCUUGCUGUAUGGUAGAUGUUGAGAAUACUGGUACUGGAU